This 1177-nucleotide ribosomal RNA is filed under the name Nocardia farcinica. RNAcentral's name for it is "partial 23S ribosomal RNA". It matches the Rfam family "Bacterial large subunit ribosomal RNA", at positions 1 to 1118 of the family's 2925-position model. Lineage: Bacteria; Bacillati; Actinomycetota; Actinomycetes; Mycobacteriales; Nocardiaceae. The record is from RNAcentral.
UUGUAAGUGUUUAAGAGCGUUCGGUGGAUGCCUUGGCACCAGGAGCCGAUGAAGGACGUAGGAGGCUGCGAUAAGCCUCGGGGAGCUGUCAACCGAGCUGAGAUCCGAGGAUUUCCGAAUGGGGAAACCCAGCACGAGUGAUGUCGUGUUACCCGCGCCUGAAUAUAUAGGGUGUGUGGAGGGAACGUGGGGAAGUGAAACAUCUCAGUACCCACAGGAAGAGAAAACAAGAGUGAUUCCGUGAGUAGUGGCGAGCGAAAGCGGAUGAGGCUAAACCAUGUAGAUGUGAUAGCCGGCAGGCGUUGUCUAUGUGGGGUUGUGGGGUUGCUCUUCCCGGUUCUGCCGAGCUGGGCGUGAGUCAGAAACCGUUGUGUUAGCUGAAGUGGUCUGGGACGGCCUACCGUAGACGGUGAGAGUCCGGUAAGUGAAAACAUGACGGCUCAUGUGAGUGAUACCCGAGUAGCAGCGGGCCCGUGAAAUCUGCUGUGAAUCUGCCGGGACCACCCGGUAAGCCUGAAUACUCCCUGGUGACCGAUAGCGGACUAGUACCGUGAGGGAAAGGUGAAAAGUACCCCGGGAGGGGAGUGAAAUAGUACCUGAAACCGUGCGCUUACAAUCCGUCAGAGCCUGCGCCCAGUUUUCUGGGGUGGGUGAUGGCGUGCCUUUUGAAGAAUGAGCCUGCGAGUUAGUGGCAUGUGGCGAGGUUAACCCGUGUGGGGUAGCCGUAGCGAAAGCGAGUCCGAAUAGGGCGUUGAGUCGCGUGUUCUAGACCCGAAGCGGAGUGAUCUACCCAUGGCCAGGGUGAAGCGACGGUAAGACGUCGUGGAGGCCCGAACCCACUUAGGUUGAAAACUGAGGGGAUGAGCUGUGGGUAGGGGUGAAAGGCCAAUCAAACUCCGUGAUAGCUGGUUCUCCCCGAAAUGCAUUUAGGUGCAGCGUCACGUGUUUCACGCCGGAGGUAGAGCUACUGGAUGGCCUAGGGGGCCUACAAGCUUACCGAAGUCAGCCAAACUCCGAAUGCCGGUGUGUGAGAGCGUGGCAGUGAGACUGCGGGGGAUAAGCUUCGUAGUCGAGAGGGAAACAGCCCAGAUCGCCGGCUAAGGCCCCUAAGCGUGUACUAAGUGGAAAAGGAUGUGGGGUCGCGAAGACAACCAGGAGGUUGGCUUAGAAGCAGCCA